UUUAAUGGCCGCAGUAUUUUGACUGUGCAAAGGUAGCAUAAUCAUUAGUUUCUUAAUUAGGAGCUGGUAUGAAAGGUUGGACGAAAAAGUAGCUGUCUCUUUAUAAAUUAGUUAUAAUUUUAUUUUUAAGUUAAAAAGCUUAAAUAGUUUUAAUAGACGAGAAGACCCUAUAGAGUUUUAUAUAUUUAUUUAUUAAUAAUUUAAAUAGAAUUUUAAAAAUUUUACUGAAAAAUAUAUUUAGUUGGGGUGAUUGAAAAAUUUAUUUAACUUUUUUUUUAUUAAACCAUUAAUUUAUGAUUUAUUGAGCCAUAUUUUAUGAUUAUAAGAUAAAAUUACCUUAGGGAUAACAGCGUAAUUUCUUUUUAGAGUUCAAAUCGAUAAAGAAGUUUGCGACCUCGAUGUUGGAUUAAAAUUUAAUUUUGGUGUAGUAGCUAAAAAUCUAGGUCUGUUCGACCUUUAAAAUUUUACAUGAUCUGAGUUUAAACCGGUGUGAGCCAGGUUGGUUUCUAUCUUUAAACUAUAAAAAUAUUUUAGUACGAAAGGACCAAAUAUUUGUAUAAAAUAUUAAUAAUUGAAUUUUAUUAAU
This 586-nucleotide ribosomal RNA is filed under the name Atheta kochi. Its description in RNAcentral is "partial 16S ribosomal RNA". It matches the Rfam family "Bacterial large subunit ribosomal RNA", at positions 1923 to 2789 of the family's 2925-position model. Lineage: Eukaryota; Metazoa; Arthropoda; Insecta; Coleoptera; Staphylinidae. The record is from RNAcentral.